AUUGAACGCUGGCGGCAGGCCUAACACAUGCAAGUCGAGCGGAUGAAGGGAGCUUGCUCCUGGAUCCAGCGGCGGACGGGUGUGAAUUGCCCGGGAAUCACCUGGGUAGUGGGGGAUAAUGUCUGCAAACGGCUGCUAAUACUGCCUGCGUCCUGCGGGUGCAAGUGGGGGGUGUUUGGACCUUAUGGUAUGAGGUGGGCGUAGGCGGGAGUUGCUAGCUGGUGGGGUAAAGGGCUACCAAGCCGACGAUUCGUAACUGGUCUGAGAGGAUGAUUAGUCACACUAGAACUGGGACACGGUCCUGACGACUACGGGAGGCAGCAGUGGGGUAUAGUGGGCAAAGGGCGAAAGCCUGAUCCAGCCAUGCCGCGUGUGUGGAGGAAGUCUUCGGAUUGUGAAGCACUUUAAGUUGGGAGGAAGGGCAGUAAGUUAAUACCUUGCUGUUUUGACGUUACCAGCAGAAUAAGCACCGGCUAACUUCGUG
Molecule: ribosomal RNA, 484 nt
Filed under: uncultured bacterium
Lineage: Bacteria
Description: partial 16S ribosomal RNA
Rfam family: Bacterial small subunit ribosomal RNA
Source: RNAcentral